Octopus bimaculoides (California two-spot octopus) is the source of this 2528-nucleotide long non-coding RNA. Lineage: Eukaryota; Metazoa; Mollusca; Cephalopoda; Octopoda; Octopodidae. The record is from RefSeq and is a predicted model, not a curated record.
ACCGAAGGUGGUAGUGAAUCUAUGAAUGAGAUAUCUCGGCCGUGAGGUAUGACGUGGGACGGAAAGGAAAAGAGGAUAUUAUGUGAGAUUACAGUGUGGUAAGAAGUUUGCUUCCCAACCACAUGGUUCUGGGUUCAGUCCUACUGCAUGGCACCUUGAGCAAGUGUCUUCUACUAUAACAUCAGGCUGACCAAAGCUUUGUGAGUGGAUUUGGUAGACAGAAAGGAGGCAAGGAUCGAGACUGAGCUCCUUUCAAAUGUUGGGCUUCACAGAGGCAAUGGCUGAGACCUUGGGCAUUAUAAGCACCUCUUGAGUGUUGAGCCCCACAGAGGCAAGGAGCUAAAAGCCAUGCAGCUGUGCUCAUGCUGGAGCACUACCAUGGUGGAGGCCAUGCAAAGUUCAGUGGAAUCACAGAAAAUAUGAGAAUUGGUUUGAGGUUGGGUAGGCACACAGAUGGGGGAGGGGACACACACAACUACUGCUCUGUUACUUCCUUAAUUUCUUUUGCCAUUAUCUGGAAUUCUUUAAAAUUUACACACACACACACACAUGCAUAAAAUACAUUUUCUAUAGCUUAAAUUCCAUCAUGAUAGACAGAAAAAACAGAAUCCAUUCGACACUUUGAUAAUAAUUAAUGAAUGAUGAAUAAAGAAUCAGGUUGGCAUUGGAAAAUCUUGUAUGAAUUAAAUAUUAUGUUACAGCCUGGAAGGAUACACAUUUCAUGACAGUCUUUUAGGGUAAUUGCCAGUGUUGGUUUGUAGCACUUUGGGAUAGUGCUGUAACGUUUCCGAAUAGUAAGUACCUUGGAGAAGAAAUCGUAGUUGCCAAAUGUGACAUAUUCUAACUUUCAGAUAUAUUUUAUAAACUAAAUUUGCUGAACAAACAGCUACAAGGUAGAAAUACAAAUCUUUUAAUUUCCAAAGAAGCUCUUGGUGGUUUCCUUCAAAAAGCUUAAUCUGUCCAAGAUUAGCAUUAGGCCCUUCCUACUCUUCAAGAGGAAAUGCAAGAAGAUGAUAUUUUUAGUACAAAUUGAGCACUUGUGUACUAAAGAAACUGCACAAUGAUAUGGAAAUCAGGGUCAAAGACCUCUUAGAAACAAACAUUCCAAGUUGGGUGGCAGACCCAUUUGUGACAAAUACAGCUGAUGUUGAUAUCAGACUAUAAGAAAGCCUUAUUGAUCUGCAGAAUAAUCAAAUUGCUCAGACUGAAUUUAAUCAUGAAUUUAAUAACUUAUGGAGAAGUAACGAAAUUGUUGUGGAAUUCCCGUUGCCUUGGCAGGAAGUAACAUUAUAUGUCAUUGCUUUCUGUCUGUACUUCUUAGCUUGUCGUGACAGGUUUUAACCGAGUGUCUUUCCUGCAAUUCAAAAGCUUGCUAUCACCUAGAAAUUUUAUGUAGAGAUGAUUUGCGUUUGUCUCUAACAACCAUUGUACUGAAAACCUGUGAAACUACAUCAGCCACAAUGAUCUCACCUAAAUAAAUACAGUAAAAAGGUAAUAUGAUAUAUUUUGCAAAAGGAUUUUACUUUUUAUGCUAAAAAAGUGAUAAUUUUUUAGGAUAAAAAAGAUAUAAAGGUAAAGAUCCUUCCCAAGUCAUAUAGGGCCAGUUUACCAGUUUCUAUGGCGUAUAUAUACCACACCUGGAUGGGACGUUGGUCCACUGCAGGUUUACUCACUUUUGCCCACUGAGUCAACUGGAGCAACAUGAAAUGAAGUGUUUUGCUCAAGAAUACAACACACUGCCUGGUGCAGGAAUCGAAACCACAAUCUUAUGAUCAUGAGUCCAACACUCUAACCACUCAGCCAUGUGGUUUUAGGAGUUAUUGAAAUUCUCAAAGAAGUUUUUUUGUUAUGUGUGUUUUAUCUUUUACGUGUUUCAGUCAUUAGACUGUGGCCAUGCUGGGGCACCACCUUGAAGAAUUUUUAGUCAAAUGAAUUAACCCAGGGUUUAUUAUUAUUAUUUUUUUUUAGAAAUCUGGUACAUAUUCCAUUGGUCUCUUUUGCAAAACUGCUAAGUUAUGAUGCCAUAAACACACUGACACUAGUUGUCAAUUGGUGGUUGGGGGUAAACAGACACAAAGCCACACACACACAACAGGCUUCUUCCAGUUUCCAUCUACCAGAUCCAUUCACAUGGCUUCAGUUGGCUUGAAGCUAUAGCAGAAGACACUUGCUCAAGGUGCCAUGCAGUAGGACUGAACCCUGAACCAUAUGGUUAAGAAACAAACUUCUUACUACACAGGCAAAAUAAAAAUACAAAAAAAAAAAACCUAAUGUACGUUUAUAAACAGUUGUUUUACUGAACCUACAAAAUAUUUUGGCUUUUGUGAAACAGAAUAAUUGCAAAUAAAUAUACAAUUAACAGACACUAAUAUUUUAAUGGAGUUCAUUACCUUAAUGGGAGAAAAACCUUUGAAAAGAAUUGAGGUUUUUUUAUGUUUAUUUAUCAUUAUAAAUUUUUGUUCAAAAAUUGUUUUCAUUUGAUAUUAUGAAAUUUUAAAUAUUUAUAGAAAUAAAUUUCAUGAUAAUAA